Molecule: ribosomal RNA, 492 nt
Filed under: uncultured bacterium
Lineage: Bacteria
Description: partial 16S ribosomal RNA
Rfam family: Bacterial small subunit ribosomal RNA
Source: RNAcentral
AGUGAACGCUGGCGGUAGGCCUAACACAUGCAAGUCGAACGGCAGCACAGUAAGAGCUUGCUCUUACGGGUGGCGAGUGGCGGACGGGUGAGGAAUACAUCGGAAUCUACUUUUUCGUGGGGGAUAACGUAGGGAAACUUACGCUAAUACCGCAUACGACCUACGGGUGAAAGCAGGGGAUCUUCGUACCUUGCGCGAUUGAAUGAGCCGAUGUCGGAUUAGCUAGUUGGCGGGGUAAAGGCCCACCAAGGCGACGAUCCGUAGCUGGUCUGAGAGGAUGAGCAGCCACACUGGAAGGGGGACAGGCUCCAGACUCCUGCGGGAGGCAGCAGUGGGGAAUAUGGGGCAAUGGGCGCAAACCUGAUCCAGACGUACAGCGUGGGUGAAGAAGGCGUCCGGGUUGGAAAGCCGUUUUGUUGGGAAAGAAAAGCAGCAGGUUAAUACCCCGCGGUUCUGACGGUACCUAAAGAAUAAGCACCGGCUAACUUCGUG